AUUGCUUCUUGGCCUUUUGGCUGAGGUCAGCUGUACUGUCUGUUCUGAUACGUUUAAUAUCUGAUAUGUUCUCUGUCCGAGGACAGUCUUGUAAAUGGAUGUAUUAAGUUCAUAAGGAAGAGAUACAGUUGGUGUAGCAUUAUUUUAGCUUCAGGAUAUAGCAGUGAGUUGACAUUUGUACAUCUUGCAAAAUGAUCACAG
This 201-nucleotide small nuclear RNA is filed under the name Panthera leo (lion). Its description in RNAcentral is "U2 spliceosomal RNA". The stretch from base 1 to 178 matches the Rfam family "U2 spliceosomal RNA". From Rfam's summary of the family: U2 is a small nuclear RNA (snRNA) component of the spliceosome (involved in pre-mRNA splicing). Complementary binding between U2 snRNA (in an area lying towards the 5' end but 3' to hairpin I) and the branchpoint sequence (BPS) of the intron results the bulging out of an unpaired adenosine, on the BPS, which initiates a nucleophilic attack at the intronic 5' splice site, thus starting the first of two transesterification reactions that mediate splicing. Lineage: Eukaryota; Metazoa; Chordata; Mammalia; Carnivora; Felidae. The record is from Rfam by way of RNAcentral. RNAcentral also lists the same sequence under 1 other name.